Molecule: ribosomal RNA, 240 nt
Filed under: uncultured bacterium
Lineage: Bacteria
Description: partial 16S ribosomal RNA
Rfam family: Bacterial small subunit ribosomal RNA
Source: RNAcentral
CGUAAGUAAUCUGCCUAUCAGAGGGGAAUAACAGUGAGAAAUCAUUGCUAAUACCGCAUAUACUAAUUUUAUUGCAUGAUAGAAUUGGGAAAGGAGCAAUCCGCUGACAGAUGGGCUUGCGUCUGAUUAGUUAGUUGGCAGGGUAAAGGCCUACCAAGACGAUGAUCAGUAGCCGGACUGAGAGGUUGAACGGCCACAUUGGGACUGAGAUACGGCCCAGACUCCUACGGGAGGCAGCAG